This 648-nucleotide ribosomal RNA is filed under the name Pleosporales sp. RNAcentral describes it as "SSU rRNA". It matches the Rfam family "Eukaryotic small subunit ribosomal RNA", at positions 87 to 738 of the family's 1831-position model. Lineage: Eukaryota; Fungi; Ascomycota; Dothideomycetes; Pleosporales. The record is from RNAcentral.
CUGCGAAUGGCUCAUUAAAUCAGUUAUCGUUUAUUUGAUAAUACCUUACUACUUGGAUAACCGUGGUAAUUCUAGAGCUAAUACAUGCUAAAAACCCCGACUUCGGGAGGGGUGUAUUUAUUAGAUAAAAAACCAAUGCCCUCCGGGGCUCCUUGGUGAUUCAUAAUAACUUCUCAGAUCGCAUGGCUCCAUGCCGGCGACGGUUCAUUCAAAUUUCUGCCCUAUCAACUUUCGAUGGUAAGGUAGUGGCUUACCAUGGUUUCAACGGGUAACGGGGAAUUAGGGUUCGAUUCCGGAGAGGGAGCCUGAGAAACGGCUACCACAUCCAAGGAAGGCAGCAGGCGCGCAAAUUACCCAAUUCCGACAUGGAGAGGUAGUGACAAUAAAUACUGAUACAGGGCUCUUUUGGGUCUUGUAAUUGGAAUGAGUACAAUUUAAACCUCUUAACGAGGAACAAUUGGAGGGCAAGUCUGGUGCCAGCAGCCGCGGUAAUUCCAGCUCCAAUAGCGUAUAUUAAAGUUGUUGCAGUUAAAAAGCUCGUAGUUGAACCUUUGGCCUGGCUGGCAGGUCCGCCUCACCGCGUGCACUUGUCCGGCCGGGCCUUCUCUUCUGGAGAACCGCAUGCCCUUCACUGGGGUGUGUUGGGGA